CCUCAAGCUACAAUCAUGUAAUCUGCAACAAUUAGAAUAUGCAUCUCAGACACUCAAAUUAAAAAUGGGUGGGAGAACCGGCAACAGAUGACUUUUGCUGACUGACAAGUUAUGCCUCUGGUGAAGAAGAAAUGCUUCUCCAAACAAAAGAACAGAAGAAAAGAAUACAUAUACCAUGAGAUUCUUCUUAUAUCCAAAAUUGAGCACACUUUUCUUCAGGUGGCAUUACUUGCAAACGUUGCCUUCAAUUGAAUUAGACUAUCCCCAGACUCUCAUUCAAUUCAAAGCUUAAAAUAAAGAUCAAAGAACACAUCUCCUACCCAUCCUAUCUAUCAACAGGUGACUUUUUUGUUUUUAAAUCCAUAAUAUCUCAUUUUUUGCCAAUUAGUCCAACCUUAUUUAGCAAGAUACAUUUUCUCAUAAUAUAGAUAAUUAUCUACGGUGUAAGCAUAUUAAGUGAUAUGGGAUAUGAGAAUACUAAAAUAAUAUGAGAUGUGGACGAUUCAUGAAGUUGGUUCAAUAAUCAAAUUGGAUUCUUUAAAGAAAAAAAAAGUCUGAUCAUCGAUUGACUAACUGUGACAACCUUAUCCAAAUAUCUAAAACUUAUAGAAAAACAAGUAAUAUGUACAAUCGCGUUCGUCUACUUUUGAUUUAAAUACACAGUAUACAAGCAUAAAGUGAAGCAUAUAAGAUAUGGAAACACGAAUAUAAGCAAAUCUAAACCUCAGAUGGCUUAUCCAUGGGAGGAGGUUGGGCUCGAGGAGGAGGGGCAGAAGGCCCGUAAUAUUGAGGAAUUCGAGCAGCUGCAGCUUGUCUUCUACCCCAAUUCCUACCAAGAAGGUAACAUGCAAGGGCCAAUAUUAUUAUAAACAGUAUCAAUGGCAAUGACACCACUAUUACGUAACCCAUUUCUGGGUUUGCCUUUUGCUUCCUCUGCAACACAACAGAUUGAAUUUUACAAAUCAGCAAUUCAGAAUCAACCAUUUCGGUUCCCAAAUGACAUAUUUCUUUCUAAAGCAGUGAAAUUGGAGGUUUUUGUCAUUUACAUAAAGCUCAAAACUGAAUUCAAUUAGAAAAAAAGCUUACCUCUGUGAUUCAAAAUAAGCAAAUUGUCGUGGGUUGUAAAGAAAUGAUGGAGAAAUUUCUGAAAAUGGGAAGAGUUAGGGUUUCUUGGCUUUGAUUUAGGAGAAAAACCCACUCUACGUGGCACCUCUCUUAUCACUAUGGUAUCAUAUGGUGAUGCGAGCAGUUCACCCACUCCAAUAACGACUAAUAUCACAAUGAA
Molecule: unclassified non-coding RNA, 1285 nt
Filed under: Hevea brasiliensis (rubber tree)
Lineage: Eukaryota; Viridiplantae; Streptophyta; Magnoliopsida; Malpighiales; Euphorbiaceae
Source: RNAcentral